GGGUUGUUAGCUCAGUCGGUAGAGCAGUUGACUCUUAAUCAAUUUGUCGUGGGUUCGAUCCCCCCACAACCCACCA
RNAcentral lists this transfer RNA (76 nucleotides) under Gilliamella sp. wkB108. Its description in RNAcentral is "tRNA-Lys". It matches the Rfam family "tRNA". Rfam says of the family: Transfer RNA (tRNA) molecules are approximately 80 nucleotides in length. The record is from RNAcentral. Lineage: Bacteria; Pseudomonadati; Pseudomonadota; Gammaproteobacteria; Orbales; Orbaceae.